CCCUGCUACAGCGACCACCACAGAACAUCAGUAUGUAUAGCGUUGUCUCUCUCUCCUCCCUGCUGCAGCGACCACAACAGAAUAUCAGUAUGUAUAGUGUUGUCUCUCUCUCCUCCCUGCUACAGCGACCACCACAUAAUAUCAGUAUGUAGUGUUCCCUCUCUCUCCUCCCUGCUACAGCGACCACCACAGAACAUCAGUAUGUAUAGUGUUUGUUCUCUCUCUCCUCCCUGCUACAGCGACCACCACAGAAUAUCAGUAUGUAUAGUGUUGUCUCUCUCUCCUCCCUGCUACAGCGACCACCACAGAAUAUCAGUAUGUAUAGUGUUGUCUCUCUCUCCUCCCUGCUACAGCGACCACCACAUAAUAUCAG
Oncorhynchus keta (chum salmon) is the source of this 373-nucleotide long non-coding RNA. RefSeq lists it as uncharacterized. The record is from RefSeq and is a predicted model, not a curated record. The transcript is spliced from 2 exons. Lineage: Eukaryota; Metazoa; Chordata; Actinopteri; Salmoniformes; Salmonidae.